Molecule: long non-coding RNA, 1061 nt
Filed under: Serinus canaria (Common canary)
Lineage: Eukaryota; Metazoa; Chordata; Aves; Passeriformes; Fringillidae
Description: lncRNA (ENSSCAG00000015800.1)
Source: RNAcentral
GUUUAAGGGAAAAAAACUUUAUUAACCUAAAACUACAAAGGAAAACACUAAGGAAAACACACAAAACACAUAGAACCCAAGAUGAAAACCUUCCAAAUUUCUUCCUCCUCCCCCCCACCUAGAUUUCCAAUUCCAUUACCACCAAAUCCACCCUUUAGAUAAUCAGUUCUCAAUUCCUCGAGAAGAGAGAAGUCCCUCUUGCACCACAGACUUCCCCAGGAAACAGUCGAAACUUCUCGUGUUUCCGUGUCACAUGUGGCACCGCCUGGAGAACAUUUUGCCAUCGUGACUUCUUCCUUCCAUGUCCAGUGCUCUCACCACUGCACAUAGACCAGAGCUGCUUCUAGGGUUUUUCCCUUUAAGGAUACUUUGUCCAGUUCCAAAGAGAGCACAGUCCCUCUCCUUUUGGGACACCUGUCCCCCCCAAAUUUCACCCCCUGGGGCCGAGGGGUCUCUUGAACAGAGAUCAUCUUCCUCUUCCUCUUCUUCGAAGCGGAGGGCACCACCACCACCCUCCUCACCCGUCGUCUCUGUUCACACUCCUCCACAUCACUGCACUCUCCUGGCUCUGAGCCAUCGCCUCCCCCUAGAAUGCAGUCUCUGUGUCACAGGAACACAAGGGGUUCUGCUGUGGCUAUACAAGAAAAGUCCAGCCAAAGGCCACUCCAUCAUCUCCUCCCACCUAGGAUUCUUCUCAACAUCCUCUCAAUCUCAUCAACUUCAGGAGGAAUCAGCAUUUGCAAGGUUUCCAUCCUCCCCAGAAGGGUUAAAAGUCCCAGGCUCUGCCGGUUUGCUUCAUGAACUCCCACGCCUGGCUGCCCUGCUGGGCACCCCCCCCUUCUCCUUCACGCCGGCCGCUAUCACAGGCACCGGCUCUGUCUCUCUCUCCCUCUCUCCGGGGGGGGGGGGAGGAAUGGAGGAUGGCUGCCCGAAGCCCUUGCAAUGUUCUCCUCCACCCUUGGGCCCAGGCCUGGCCUACCUCCGGCCACAUGGCUCCCCUCCACCCCUGCCCAGCCCAGCUCAGGCCAGGCAGGGAGGGUUGAGGGUCUGCUCAGUCCCAA